Nilaparvata lugens (brown planthopper) is the source of this 2385-nucleotide long non-coding RNA. RefSeq lists it as uncharacterized. The transcript is spliced from 3 exons. The record is from RefSeq and is a predicted model, not a curated record. Lineage: Eukaryota; Metazoa; Arthropoda; Insecta; Hemiptera; Delphacidae.
CGAAUGAUUAUCAUUGUUAUAUUUUCAGUUCAUUGGUGAUCGGCGUAAGUGAAUUGACUGACGAUUCAGAAGAUGACGAGGAAUUCAGUUCGAAGCACAGAAAACGGAAAAGACAACUGGCUCUGUCAGAUCCUGUCUACACAUGCAACCUCAUGUCCUACGUCUCAGAACAGGUGAAUAAUCUGCGAAUGCGAUUGAAUGCAGAGCAAUUCAUUGAUGCCCUGCAGACUGUUGAUGACGAAACUCUGCAAAAUAUACGACAAUUUGUGCCACUAUGACUGCCUUACGCCACCUCUAAUACAUCUUCCAUUGAUUACUCUACAUACCACCACCAAUAAUUUAUUAUAAUCAAGAGAGUCAUCAUUAACGACAUCACAAUUAUCUAUUAUUGUUACGUAAACAUGCUUGCGAGGCCAGAUUCGAAGGUUAGGCUAGCUAGAGGCUAAUUCGAAGUUAGCAGUUACCAUUAAAAAAAGAAAAAUUAAUCGAUUUAUAAUAGUUGUGUAAAGUUUUUAUUAAGGAAUCAUUGUUAUGUGUGAAAGACAACAGUGUAAAGAUUAACAGAUUUCACCGACUUGUGGAGCUAAAUUCAACACUGUUUUCAAAUAAUAUGUAGAAAUACUUAAUUAAUACUUUGUACUUUGUCUGUACAUAGAUAGCAUAUGCGUUGUUUUGUCCUAUAUGUAUGGAUUUAUUGAUACAAAACUUGGUUGUCAAUGCUCAAUGCAGCCUAGAGGUCCCACGUUUGAUUCCAACUAUGACCAAACGUUUUUAGUGAGGAGACAUUCCCGUGUGUUUUCGAAUGAACACAAUAUAGGCGGUCGCGGUAGUGAGGCCUAUCCACGAUCAAAGUGUUACCAACAUAUUGACUGAACCAGUUUUUCGAAUUCAACGAAACAUUGGCAAUCAUAAGAGUUGAUGGAGAAUCGCAUUUUAAUGUCAAAAAUCAAAUCUGAACAACUAUCUCUUGUAAAAGUGAGACAUAACCCUAAUUUAUUUAUUUAAUCAAAUAACUACACAUCUGAACAACUAUCUCUUGUGAAAGUGAGACAUAACCCUAAUUUAUUCAUUUAUUCGAACAUUUACAAAUCAUAAUAUACUUACUUAAGAUGGGGAGAGAACAACAGGCCACCCCAAAACUAUUCUUUCAAAUGGUAAUAUGUAGUAAUGAAUAAUAUUUAAUUAUGGAACAAUACUUAUGUGACCUAUGACCUAUGUGAAAACAGUGUAGAAUGCUGUAGUCUGCACUCUUAAGGUUGUGCAAAGGCUAAAAAAUACUUUCUACUGGUGAAAUUUUUUCGAUUUGUUUACAAUCAAGCUAUCAAAAUGAAUUUUUUUUUCUCUGAUCAUUACUUUUUGAGAUAUGAGCGCAGAUUAAAUUUUUGGGACAGGUCAUUACAAAUUCGGUAAGAGGUAAAAUCCAUGAAAUUUUUAGGAUAAAUUCUUCAUGUUAUUGUUGAUUGAAUAAAAUGAAAAUUUUCUGAAAAUAUUAAUUUUUGUGAAAGUUAUUCUAUUUACCAAAAAUAACUUUUAGUUGAGUUAUUGAACUGUAUAACUUUCUCAAAAAUUGAUAUUUUCAGAAAAUGUUUGUUUUGUUGUAUCACCAAUAAAGAUGCCAAUAAAGAUAUUGUAUCACCAAUGGAGAACGUAUCCUAAAAAUUUCAUGCCUCUUACCGAAUUUGUAAAGACCUGUCCCAAAAAUUUAAACUUUAUGCACUCAUAUCUCAAAAAGUAAUGAUCGGAGAAAAAUAUUUUCCUGCGAAAACUUUCUCAUUUUGAUAGCUUGAUUGUAUACAAAUCGAAAACCUGUAAAAAAUGUCACCAGUAGAAAGUUUUUUUAGCCUUUGCACAGCUUUAAGAGGAGCCUCUCUUCCUCGUAAUCACAUUCUUUGUUUUAUUAACUUAGUUCACCUUGAUAGAUCAUCGUAAUUCAUUAUUCUUUCAUUCUCUUUGUAAAUAAGUUGAGGAAUAAUAUUGAUGUGUUGGGACAAGAAGAAGUGUUUGUCGUUGUUGUUAGUGUUGGUGUGUGUAUAAACGAAAGACUGAUUUAUCUUGAUGCUGAAAUGUUAAGCUUUUGUAUAUUCUCCUCUCCUAUUACUUAAUUUAAAUACUGUAUUUUUAAUCAAUUAAUAUUUGAAAAAUAUUAUCAACUAUUUCGUGAAAAUGUAAUUUUUAAAAUGUUCUGAGUAUCCGGUACUAUUCAAAUAAACUGGCAGUAUUCUUGUCAUGAUGAUGCACGAUCGUCCAUUUGCUACACACUGCCAAGUUAUAUGAAUUGUAUUGGAAAAUUUUGAGUUUGCUCAAAGUGCAGUUGGUUAUAAAUUUGUGUCUCUGUUAUUUUUUCUGGGUUUGUUUAAACUAGUUUUAUUAAACAUUUUUAAGAAU